RNAcentral lists this ribosomal RNA (439 nucleotides) under uncultured bacterium. RNAcentral describes it as "partial 16S ribosomal RNA". It matches the Rfam family "Bacterial small subunit ribosomal RNA", at positions 339 to 795 of the family's 1533-position model. The record is from RNAcentral.
CUACGGGAGGCUCCAGUGGGGGAUAUUGCACAAUGGGGGAAACCCUGAUGCAGCAACGCCGCGUGAAGGAAGACGGUUUUCGGAUUGUAAACUUCUAUCAGCAGGGAAGAAAAUGACGGUACCUGACUAAGAAGCCCCGGCUAACUACGUGCCAGCAGCCGCGGUAAUACGUAGGGGGCAAGCGUCAUCCGGAAUUACUGGGUGUAAAGGGUACGUAGGCGGCUGAUCAAGUCAGAUGUGAAAGCCCGGAGCUCAACUCCGGGACUGCAUUUGAAACUGGUCGGCUAGAGUGCAGGAGAGGAAAGUGGAAUUCCUAGUGUAGCGGUGAAAUGCGUAGAUAUUAGGAAGAACACCAGUGGCGAAGGCGGCUUUCUGGACUGUAACUGACGCUGAGGUACGAAAGCGUGGGGAGCGAACAGGAUUAGAUACCCCCGUAGUC